UAGGGAAUCUUCCACAAUGGACGCAAGUCUGAUGGAGCAACGCCGCGUGAGUGAAGAAGGCUUUCGGGUCGUAAAACUCUGUUAUUGAAGAAGGACGUGUGUGACAGUAACUGGUCAUGCAGUGACGGUAUUCAAUCAGAAAGUCACGGCUAACUACGUGCCAGCAGCCGCGGUAAUACGUAGGUGGCAAGCGUUGUCCGGAUUUAUUGGGCGUAAAGCGAGUGCAGGCGGUCUUUUAAGUCUGAUGUGAAAGCCUUCGGCUUAACCGAAGAAGGGCAUCGGAAACUGGGAGACUUGAGUGCAGAAGAGGAGAGUGGAACUCCAUGUGUAGCGGUGAAAUGCGUAGAUAUAUGGAAGAACACCAGUGGCGAAGGCGGCUCUCUGGUCUGUAACUGACGCUGAGGCUCGAAAGCGUGGGUAGCAAACAGGAUUAGAU
RNAcentral lists this ribosomal RNA (436 nucleotides) under uncultured bacterium. Its description in RNAcentral is "partial 16S ribosomal RNA". It matches the Rfam family "Bacterial small subunit ribosomal RNA", at positions 355 to 783 of the family's 1533-position model. The record is from RNAcentral.